RNAcentral lists this ribosomal RNA (762 nucleotides) under uncultured Staphylococcus sp. Its description in RNAcentral is "bacterial SSU rRNA". It matches the Rfam family "Bacterial small subunit ribosomal RNA", at positions 52 to 796 of the family's 1533-position model. Lineage: Bacteria; Bacillati; Bacillota; Bacilli; Caryophanales; Staphylococcaceae. The record is from RNAcentral.
UACAUGCAAGUCGAGCGAACAGACGAGGAGCUUGCUCCUCUGACGUUAGCGGCGGACGGGUGAGUAACACGUGGAUAACCUACCUAUAAGACUGGGAUAACUUCGGGGAACCGGAGCUAAUACCGGAUAAUAUAUUGAACCGCAUGGUUCAAUAGUGAAAGACGGUUUUGCUGUCACUUAUAGAUGGAUCCGCGCCGCAUUAGCUAGUUGGUAAGGUAACGGCUUACCAAGGCAACGAUGCGUAGCCGACCUGAGAGGGUGAUCGGCCACACUGGAACUGAGACACGGUCCAGACUCCUACGGGAGGCAGCAGUAGGGAAUCUUCCGCAAUGGGCGAAAGCCUGACGGAGCAACGCCGCGUGAGUGAUGAAGGUCUUCGGAUCGUAAAACUCUGUUAUUAGGGAAGAACAAAUGUGUAAGUAACUAUGCACGUCUUGACGGUACCUAAUCAGAAAGCCACGGCUAACUACGUGCCAGCAGCCGCGGUAAUACGUAGGUGGCAAGCGUUAUCCGGAAUUAUUGGGCGUAAAGCGCGCGUAGGCGGUUUUUUAAGUCUGAUGUGAAAGCCCACGGCUCAACCGUGGAGGGUCAUUGGAAACUGGAAAACUUGAGUGCAGAAGAGGAAAGUGGAAUUCCAUGUGUAGCGGUGAAAUGCGCAGAGAUAUGGAGGAACACCAGUGGCGAAGGCGACUUUCUGGUCUGUAACUGACGCUGAUGUGCGAAAGCGUGGGGAUCAAACAGGAUUAGAUACCCUGGUAGUCC